GAUGAACGCUGGCGGAGUGCCUAACACAUGCAAGUCGAGCGGCAGCGCGAGUAGUUUACUACUUGGCGGCGAGCGGCGGACGGCUGAGUAACGCGUGGGAACAUGCCCCAAAGUGAGGAAUAACUGCCCGAAAGGGUAGCUAAUGCCGCAUACGAUCUUCGGAUUAAAGGAUUUAUCCGCUUUGGGAGUGGCCUGCGUACGAUUAGAUAGUUGGUGAGGUAAUGGCUCACCAAGUCUACGAUCGUUAACUGGUUUGAGAGGAUGAUCAGUCAGACUGGAACUGAGACACGGUCCAGACUCCUACGGGAGGCAGCAGUGAGGAAUCUUCCACAAUGGACGAAAGUCUGAUGGAGCAACUCCGCGUGCAGGAUGAAGGCCUUCGGGUCGUAAACUGCUUUAUGAGUGAAGAAUAUGACGGUAACUCAUGAAUAAGGGUCGGCUAACUAACGUGCCAGCAGCCGCGGUAA
This 467-nucleotide ribosomal RNA is filed under the name uncultured bacterium. RNAcentral's name for it is "bacterial SSU rRNA". It matches the Rfam family "Bacterial small subunit ribosomal RNA", at positions 28 to 523 of the family's 1533-position model. The record is from RNAcentral.